This 507-nucleotide ribosomal RNA is filed under the name uncultured bacterium. Its description in RNAcentral is "bacterial SSU rRNA". It matches the Rfam family "Bacterial small subunit ribosomal RNA", at positions 28 to 495 of the family's 1533-position model. The record is from RNAcentral.
GACGAACGCUGGCGGCGUGCYUAAUACAUGCAAGUCGAACGCACUCUCGUUUAGAUUGAAGGAGCUUGCUCYUGAUUGAUAAACAUUUGAGUGAGUGGCGGACGGGUGAGUAACACGUGGGUAACCUGCCCUAAAGUGGGGGAUAACAUUUGGAAACAGGUGCUAAUACCGCAUAAAACCUAACACCGCAUGGUGUAGGGUUGAAAGAUGGUUUCGGCUAUCACUUUAGGAUGGACCCGCGGUGCAUUAGUUAGUUGGUGAGGUAAAGGCUCACCAAGWCCGUGAUGCAUAGCCGACCUGAGAGGGUAAUCGGCCACACUGGGACUGAGACACGGCCCAGACUCCUWCGGGAGGCAGCAGUAGGGAAUCUUCCACAAUGGACGAAAGUYUGAUGGAGCAACGCCGCGUGAGUGAAGAAGGUUUUCGGAUCGUAAAACUCUGUUGUYGGAGAAGAAUGUAUCUGAUAGUAACUGAUCAGGUAGUGACGGUUCCAACCWKAAASCACGA